RNAcentral lists this small RNA (28 nucleotides) under Bombyx mori (domestic silkworm). RNAcentral's name for it is "ovarian small RNA-15623". The record is from RNAcentral. Lineage: Eukaryota; Metazoa; Arthropoda; Insecta; Lepidoptera; Bombycidae.
GACUCCGGUGCACUUCUGUCGUCACACU